AAUCAACGCUGGCGGCGUGCCUCAGACAUGCAAGUCGAACGAUUAAAGCUCUCUUCGGAGAGUGUAUAGAGUGGCGCACGGGUGAGUAACACGUAAGUAAUCUACCCUCGGGUGGGAAGUAACAUCGGGAAACCGAGUGCUAAUACCGCAUAAUGCAGCGGCUCCUAAUGGAGACAGUUGUUAAAGGUAUUUAUUCGUCCUGGGGAGGAGGCUUGCGGCAGAUUAGCAGUUGGUAAGGUAAUGGCUUACCAAGGCUACGACCUGUAGCCGGUCUAAGAGGACGGUCGGUCACACUGACACUGAAUAACGGGGUCAGACUCCUACGGGAGGCAGCAGUCGGGAAUUUUGGGCAA
This 353-nucleotide ribosomal RNA is filed under the name uncultured bacterium. RNAcentral describes it as "bacterial SSU rRNA". It matches the Rfam family "Bacterial small subunit ribosomal RNA", at positions 32 to 371 of the family's 1533-position model. The record is from RNAcentral.